GAAGAGAAGUGAUCUAUGAAGAGAAACAAAAUAAGAAAAUUGAUCAACAGUAAAACGUGGUGUGCGCUUAAGAUGGAAAGAGGUAUUUUACCAUAGGCUAAAUUCCCCAAAUCCAUUGUACCCAAGAACCAAACUAGAAAACUUUGGUAUUCUUUUCAACUUCAUUGAACAAAAGGGUGGGCAGCCAGGUGGCAGCAAACAGCAUUCUUCCAUCUCCGCUCAGGUGGCAGCAAACAGCAUUCUUCCGUCUCCGCACUGCAAAUUCAGAAUUUCGGGAGCAAAUCAAACUACAUAACAAAUAAAAAAACUAAACAGAAAUCACAUAAAGAAGCAUCA
Molecule: long non-coding RNA, 336 nt
Filed under: Nicotiana benthamiana
Lineage: Eukaryota; Viridiplantae; Streptophyta; Magnoliopsida; Solanales; Solanaceae
Description: long non-coding RNA (NBEN_LNC036351)
Source: RNAcentral